Molecule: ribosomal RNA, 357 nt
Filed under: Vibrio vulnificus
Lineage: Bacteria; Pseudomonadati; Pseudomonadota; Gammaproteobacteria; Vibrionales; Vibrionaceae
Description: partial 23S ribosomal RNA
Rfam family: Bacterial large subunit ribosomal RNA
Source: RNAcentral
UAUAAACCGAAGCUGCGGCAAUGAAGUUUACUUCAUUGGGUAGGGGAGCGUUCUGUAAGCCGUUGAAGGUGUGUUGUAAAGCAUGCUGGAGGUAUCAGAAGUGCGAAUGCUGACAUGAGUAACGAUAAAGGGGGUGAAAAACCUCCUCGCCGGAAGACCAAGGGUUCCUGUCCAACGUUAAUCGGGGCAGGGUAAGUCGACCCCUAAGGCGAGGCCGAAAGGCGUAGUCGAUGGGAAACGGGUUAAUAUUCCCGUACUUCUUACAAUUGCGAUGGGGGGACGGAGAAGGCUAGGUGGGCCUGGCGACGGUUGUCCAGGUUCAAGUGUGUAGGCUGAAGAGUUAGGUAAAUCCGGCUC